UCAUUUGGUUUUAAUUACUGCUGUUUUCCCAAUCUUUUUCACUCAUUCCAUGGAAACUCUGUUUUUGGUUGUCUGUAUUCUAUAAACUAUUGCUGCUAACUUAAUCUCUGUCGGAUGGCUAGAUGCCUUGAAACUUGAAAGUGAGGCGAUGAUGAUAUUUCUCGGUUUCUGUUCUUUCUGUGUUACUUAUCUGGGCAAUUGAGAUUAACUGACCCGUAUCUUGGCGGGGCAACCCGGAAUAAUACCGGGUUUGCAGCCAUGGCGGCGAUGGCUUCUCUUUUGCCCCCAUCAGUAACACGGAGCUGAGCCUCAAAGGUGGUCCGGAAUAUGCCCGGUUCUUGCAGCCUUGGCGAUGUUGGCUUCUCUCUUGCCUCCAUAUGAAAACAAAUCUGAGCCUCAAGCUAUAGGAGACCUGUUCUUUUACGGCCCUAUUACAUUCCAACUUAAAGAAUGAGGCUUUACCGAGAAAUGGAGAUUUUUUUUGGGUGGUUGCACUUCUCUGGUUAGCCUAUGAUUUGCUUUUGUUUCUUCCAUGCAACAGCCCUUCCACACACACAAUAUGUGUGUGUAUGUAUCUGUGGUUCUGUGGAUAUAUUUCAGCAAGGUUUUCCAUACUAUACUCUCAGGUUAGUAAACAGACCCUAAGUGUAAGCUCAAAGAUUGAGGGUUUACAGAGAAAUGGCGAAUUUCCAUAGUUGGUAACUCUUUUCUGGUUAGACCUUGAUUUCCUGUUUUUACUUCUGUGUAAUUGUGUUAUCUAUUCUCAGUUCAGUGUUUGCUUACCUUACAAAUCACAACGUCAAUAUUUGAAAACACAAACCAUGGAAGAGGAAAAGAAAGUUUAUUAUGGGGCAAUGAUGAUAUUCUUUCGAGCAAAGUAAGUGUAUUUUGAUUAUAUGACCCAUGUCUUGGCAUGGCAACCUGGAUUUUCUCAUUGACUAGCUGGGAUUUUGCAGCCAAGGUGGUGUCAAGUGUUUAAAUAUCAGAAUUAUGAAAAUCUGAGCCCCAGUCUCUAUAUACAUUUUAAAGAUGGUACAAGUUUCACUUAGAAAGAUGGCAAAAAUGAAGCGAACCAAGAGCUGGGAUUUCUUCUAAGGGUGGUUGCCCCUCUUGGUUUCAGCUUAUGAUUUCUCUGUUUUCAUUUACAUGAAAUAAAAAACCAACAGCCCUUCAUUUUU
Long non-coding RNA from Ipomoea nil (Japanese morning glory), 1178 nucleotides. RefSeq lists it as uncharacterized. The transcript is spliced from 2 exons. NCBI's taxonomy places the organism in Eukaryota, Viridiplantae, Streptophyta, Magnoliopsida, Solanales, Convolvulaceae. The record is from RefSeq and is a predicted model, not a curated record.